This 605-nucleotide long non-coding RNA is filed under the name Glycine max (soybean). Its description in RNAcentral is "long non-coding RNA (GMAX_LNC002586)". Lineage: Eukaryota; Viridiplantae; Streptophyta; Magnoliopsida; Fabales; Fabaceae. The record is from RNAcentral.
CCCCAGCCAUGGCUCGCUCAUUGUUCCUAUGCUCACUCCUCAUCCUCGCUGUCACCACCUUUUCCUCACCCACGGGUGCUCUUAUCCUGACCCUAGUCAACAACUGCAACUACACCGUGUGGCCCGGCAUCCAGCCCAACGCCGGCCACCCCGUCCUCGCCGGCGGCGGCCUCACCCUCCGCUCCCUCACCCACCAAUCCAUCCCCGUCCCCGACGCCCACUGGUCCGGCCGCGUCUGGGCCCGCACCGGCUGCUCCUACUCCGGCACCGCCUUCUCCUGCGCCAGCGGCGACUGCGGCGGCCGCCUCCAGUGCAACGGCGCCGGGGGCGCCGCACCCGCCACCCUCGCCCAGCUCGAGGUCCACCACGGCAGCAACGACUACGCCUCCUACGGCGUCAGCCUCGUCGACGGUUUUAACGUCCCCAUGACCUUCACCCCGCACGAGGGCAAAGGCGUGUGCCCUGUCGUGGGUUGCCGCAACGACCUUCUCGCCACGUGUCCGCGCGUGCUGCAGCACCGUGUGCCCGCGGGUCACGGACCCGUGGUGGCUUGCAAGAGCGGGUGCGAGGCUUUUCACACGGACGAACUCUGUUGCAGGAACCAC